Molecule: ribosomal RNA, 433 nt
Filed under: uncultured bacterium
Lineage: Bacteria
Description: partial 16S ribosomal RNA
Rfam family: Bacterial small subunit ribosomal RNA
Source: RNAcentral
AACGAACGCUGGCGGCAUGCCUAACACAUGCAAGUCGAACGAGACCUUCGGGUCUAGUGGCGCACGGGUGCGUAACGCGUGGGAACCUGCCCUUAGGUUCGGAAUAACUCCCCGAAAGGGGUGCUAAUACCGGAUAAUGUCUUCGGACCAAAGAUUUAUCGCCUUUGGAUGGGCCCGCGUUGGAUUAGCUAGUUGGUAGGGUAAAAGCCUACCAAGGCGACGAUCCAUAGCUGGUCUGAGAGGAUGAUCAGCCACACUGGGACUGAGACACGGCCCAGACUCCUACGGGAGGCAGCAGUGGGGAAUAGUGGAAAAGGGGCGAAAGCCUGAUCCAGCAAUGCCGCGUGAGUGAUGAAGGCCUUAGGGUUGUAAAGCUCUUUUAACCGGGAUGAUAAUGACAGUACCGGGAGAAUAAGCUCCGGCUAACUCCGUG